Molecule: transfer RNA, 104 nt
Filed under: Nitrosopumilales archaeon
Lineage: Archaea; Thermoproteati; Nitrososphaerota; Nitrososphaeria; Nitrosopumilales
Also listed under: 1 other name
Description: tRNA-Leu
Rfam family: tRNA
About the family: Transfer RNA (tRNA) molecules are approximately 80 nucleotides in length.
Source: RNAcentral
GCAGGGGUAUCGAAGCCCGGUCAACCGAGAAGGACUCAAGAUCGGUUCAAUGGGAAAUCCUUUCCUUUAGGGGUUCGUGGGUUCAAAUCCCACCUCCUGCACCA